UUUGUGAACGUGAGAGCAAGAACAGAGACUGAGAGAGACAGAGAAGCACGAUGGCUGCAUUCACAUGGAUUCAAAUGUCUUCAUUACUGAUACUGAUGCUUCAGUUUAAAGGAACAACUGAGCAAAAUCAAACUGAUCAAACUGUCACAGCUGGACGUGGACAUGAUGUUACUCUGCCUUGUAAAAAUGUGAUACAAGGUCAGCAUAACUGUAGCAGUACUACCUGGAUCUUCAGUGAUUCAAGCAGCUCAGUAUCACUCUUUGAACUUGGGCAGAAUAAAGCAGCCAAACCUAAAUCAGACAGACUGAGUGUUUCUGCAGACUGUUCUCUGGUUACACACUCAGAAAUUAAAGUACAGAAAUGUACCUAUAGGGGUACAAUGGCUUGUCACUGGGGUGGUACCCUCUAAGGUACCGUUCUGUACCCUAAACUGUGGGUACUGAUUUGUACCCUUGUAAUUUGUACUUUUUACACGUCAAACCUGUACUUUAAAGGACAAAGUUGUACCCUUAGUAUAAAGUACAAAAAAGAACCCUUAAAAGGAGUACAAAAAUGUCUUUCUAAAGGUUCAGUAUCUACACACAGAUUUCCUAUAUUUUUCCUCUCAAGAUUUGAAAAAUUGAAGAUACAAAGUCAAAAAUACUUGUCACAUUUAUUACCUUCUUAAAUACAGACUGUUAUCAACAGAGUAUGUGUCAUAAGCUGCAACAUCAAUUUCCUGUCCAGGUUUUAGCAACGUCCAUUCACUAUCAACUCUAACACUGUAUGAAUGAAAAUGGUUGUCAUAUAACAGAGGAAUGAGAAUUUUUCCACAAAAGACCCACAUUGUGUCAAUAUUAAAUAUGUACUUAAUUUGCCAGAACAGAGGAAUCUUCUCUGAAUGCAGUACAUCAAUGACAAACACAUCUCUUACACAGUAUUUGACACUGUUCACAAUUACUUCUGACACACGCUGGAAAGCUUUCUUAGGUCUUAGCACUAUCAACUUCAGAAAAGCCACAAUAGACUGUCAGUGCUUGUUGCAGUUCCAGUGGUAAUGACAAAAAUGGUGUAGUCACACUUUUUCCAAAAACAUUUUCAAAUUCACCAAGUAAACUUUUGUUAGAAAACUCCCAGCACUGUCUGAACUGAUGUCUGUUGCUCAAAGUUGUAGCAAUGUUCAUAAAAUUUCUACAAUUGCGGGACAACAUUUUGAAAUACUGGUGCUUACUUUCAAAUCUCAUACACCAUAACAAACGUAGAGGGCCGAACAUUUCAA
Long non-coding RNA from Oreochromis niloticus (Nile tilapia), 1259 nucleotides. RefSeq lists it as uncharacterized. The transcript has 2 exons. The record is from RefSeq and is a predicted model, not a curated record. NCBI's taxonomy places the organism in Eukaryota, Metazoa, Chordata, Actinopteri, Cichliformes, Cichlidae.